RNAcentral lists this ribosomal RNA (207 nucleotides) under uncultured bacterium. Its description in RNAcentral is "partial 16S ribosomal RNA". It matches the Rfam family "Bacterial small subunit ribosomal RNA", at positions 568 to 774 of the family's 1533-position model. The record is from RNAcentral.
CGUGUAGGCGGCCCGUUAAGUCUGAUGUGAAAGCCCGGGGCUUACCCCCGGAAGUGCAUUGGAAACUGGCAGGCUCGAGUCCCGGAGAGGAGGGUGGAAUUCCUGGUGUAGCGGUGAAAUGCGUAGAUAUCAGGAGGAACACCGGUGGCGAAGGCGGCCCUCUGGACGGUGACUGACGCUGAGACGCGAAAGCGUGGGAAGCAAACA